GUGACAGCCAUACAAGAUGGAUUCCUGUAUUUAUCUGCGAAAGGGGCACAGCACAGGCAGCUGCAGUACAUGCUUCCCGAGCAAUGAGCCUGAACUCUGACCUAGAGAUAUCACCUCUGUGAGAUGAGUCUUCAUGCCCAUUCAAUCCUUGACCCUU
Molecule: non-coding RNA, 157 nt
Organism: Podarcis lilfordi (Lilford's wall lizard)
Lineage: Eukaryota; Metazoa; Chordata; Lepidosauria; Squamata; Lacertidae
Source: the annotation of a GenBank genome assembly